GUUAAGUGGAGAAAGAGUGAGAGUGCAGAGUAUAGGAGGCCUUCUGGAACAAGGAACGAUCCUGGGAUGCUGCAGGUUCCAAGGAUAAAACGGAAGAAAGUUGUAUGGAUAAAAUUCUGCUCGGAAGGAAAUCCUUUUAUGAGACAGGAUCGUCAACCCUUCCAGUAAUAAUAACUACCCCUCUAUAACCAGAUGAGCCAUUACACCAAUGUAUACCAGAGCCUACACAGCAAUGAAUGGGAAAGUUAUGAAUGAACGAUCCUGGCUGCUACAAGGAAUUCUUCAAAAAUCUUAGAAACGAUAUUAUGUUCUUCUCUAUUCAAUUCCCUCAAAUCCCUUACCCAGAAAACUGAUGUCAGGUUCAGCUUGGGAUUGAAUAUCUGGUGGAAGUAGGUGUGUAAAUAUAUGACCCAGCAGAUGCUGAG
Molecule: long non-coding RNA, 425 nt
Organism: Cephus cinctus (wheat stem sawfly)
Lineage: Eukaryota; Metazoa; Arthropoda; Insecta; Hymenoptera; Cephidae
Exons: 3
Source: RefSeq, a predicted model, not a curated record